GGGGACCCACAACGUGUUACCGGUUUUCAUUUUGCUGGGGCUCGCAUUUGAAGCAAGGGCUCUAGUGAGGAGGUGGUGUAGACUCAGCGGGUCAUUUAGGUCCGUGUGAAGUCGAGUUGCCUGCCCAGCACCUAUAGCUCAACUAGGUUUUAUUGUUCUCUACCUGCCAAUAGUUGAUUUAUGAUGGAUUCCAAGAGAAAAGCUAAGGGCAGCCUGGAGUACAUCAGAUGUGGUCUCAGGGAGGUCUUCGUGGAAGUCAGGAAUACUUGGACCUCAGCCAACCUCUCGAACAGUAUUCACCUAGUUACCCUGACACAAGAAGUUCUUGUUCUUCAGGAGAUGAUUCUGUUUUUUCUCCAGACCCCAUGCCUUACGAACCAUGCCUUCCUCAGUAUCCACACAUAAACGGCAGUGUUAAAACAUGAAUGACUGUGUCUGCCUGUCCCCAAACAGGACAGCACUGGGAACCUAGCUACACUGAGCAGGGAGACCAUGCC
This 497-nucleotide small RNA is filed under the name Pongo abelii (Sumatran orangutan). RNAcentral's name for it is "processed transcript". Lineage: Eukaryota; Metazoa; Chordata; Mammalia; Primates; Hominidae. The record is from RNAcentral.